UGCUCCGUUUCCAUAGUAACAGGACUAGGGCUGCAGCGAUUACUAUUGAAAUACUCAGCGAUUAAUUUAAUAGUUGGUUACCGUAUUUUCUGGACUAUAAGCCGACACUUUUUUCCUUGGUUUUGAACCAUACGGCUAUUCUUUGGAAUUUUCUUCCACCGUGGUCACAUCAAGAAGCUCCGUGGAGUCUGGUGGAGAUUUUCCAGCGUUCUCAGUCCUGCUACCCGCAGCAGCAGAAACGCAGAGACGCGAGCAGCCAAGAGCAUCAGCUGCAGAGGUGGAUCGUGGAGGGAAGCCGUGGAGUCCAUCUACAGAUCAACUGUGCAGAAACUGCUGAAAACAACUCGCCUCUACACCAACACAACGAUCAGAGAAAGUCUCAACAAUCUUAUCAGAACUCUAAACAAAUCUUUGUUCCUGUGGGAACCGUUCAUUAAGGAUCAGGGUGGAGAUGUGAGCAGUCUGAAGAACGGCGUUCCCAGCUGUUGUUGGAUAAGACUAAAUCCUAUCACAGUUGGAUCCGAGAGGCUAGCUUCUGUUUUUCUGCAGAAACAGGACAUGUUUGCAACGUCAGGGGAAAAGCGUUUUCCACCUGCAUCCACACUGACGUGUUUUAGAUGUUUAACCCCUGUGACCCACCAAAGUCUUUGCAUUAAAUCUGCAACCUUUAACACUAAAAGAA
This is a long non-coding RNA of Oryzias melastigma (Indian medaka), 682 nucleotides long. RefSeq lists it as uncharacterized. The transcript has 2 exons. NCBI's taxonomy places the organism in Eukaryota, Metazoa, Chordata, Actinopteri, Beloniformes, Adrianichthyidae. The record is from RefSeq and is a predicted model, not a curated record.